GACAGAGGGUGCAAACGUUGUUCGGAAUUACUGGGCGUAAAGCGCGUGUAGGCGGCCAUCUAAGUCGGGCGUGAAAUCCCACGGCUCAACCGUGGAAGUGCACUUGAAACUGGAUGGCUAGAGUCCUGGAGAGGAAGGUGGAAUGCUUGGUGUAGAGGUGAAAUUCGUAGAUAUCAAGCGGAACACCGGUGGCGAAGGCGGCCUUCUGGACAGUGACUGGACGCUGAGA
Molecule: ribosomal RNA, 229 nt
Filed under: uncultured bacterium
Lineage: Bacteria
Description: partial 16S ribosomal RNA
Rfam family: Bacterial small subunit ribosomal RNA
Source: RNAcentral